GGUAAAAUAAAGCUCUCUGUAAUUGGGGGUUGGACACAAUGGGUGGUACAAAGUGACCGAUCAGGUAUUAUCAGUUAUGCUCACACACCAUGUCAGCCGUCUCAUAGGGGGUUGCAACUGAUGCUGUGAAUGGUAGAAAUCACCGUGCACUCCUUUAUGCAGAAAACGAGCCAGGAGAGUCCUUUUGUCUUGGGCUUACACUGUGGUGAAAUCUUAUUGUUAUAAAAUGC
Molecule: non-coding RNA, 230 nt
Organism: Pelobates cultripes (western spadefoot toad)
Lineage: Eukaryota; Metazoa; Chordata; Amphibia; Anura; Pelobatidae
Source: the annotation of a GenBank genome assembly